UACGUAGGGUGCGAGCGUUGCCCGGAUUUAUUGGGCGUAAAGGGCGCGUAGGCGGUGAGAUGCGUCCGUUGUGAAAUCGCCCGGCUCAACUGGGCGGGGUCAGCGGAUACGGUCUCACUUGAGCAAGCUAGGGGGCAAUGGAAUUCCCGGUGUAGUGGUGGAAUGCGUAGAGAUCGGGAGGAACACCAGAGGCGAAGGCGGCGACCUGGACAGAUACUGACACUCAACUGCGAAAGCGUGGGGAGCAAACAGG
This 253-nucleotide ribosomal RNA is filed under the name uncultured bacterium. Its description in RNAcentral is "partial 16S ribosomal RNA". It matches the Rfam family "Bacterial small subunit ribosomal RNA", at positions 524 to 776 of the family's 1533-position model. The record is from RNAcentral.